GCAAGGAAAAGUUACUCAAUAUUCUUAUCGGAUAAGGUUGAACAAAUACACCCAUCGUACGAGGCAAUUUGUAUGAUACAUUACAUAAGACAUAAACCAUUAGUCAUAAGAUAGGAAUUAGAACAUACAAGAAAUGCAACAACAUUACAAUUGCAAUAGCUAGUUGCAGUAUAGUAUAUCAACCACAGCAAUAACAGCAAACAAUUCAGCACAAAAAGUUACACAGGCAGAGACACAUCUAAGUAGACAUAUUUCACAUCCAAGUAAAAGUUUGUAUUUAUUUGUCUAAAAAUCCCCACCAGCAGAUGGCAUUUUCGCUAUAAAAAUCGUCGCUCUUGCGAAAUCGAUCUCCAACUUCAAUCCUCAUCUUCAUCAUCGUCUCCCCCGUCUUCUUUGUUUUUCUUGAGAUUGGUUGUACCCCCCUCCUUGCUAAUGGGCAACUUCAUUG
Molecule: unclassified non-coding RNA, 448 nt
Filed under: Hevea brasiliensis (rubber tree)
Lineage: Eukaryota; Viridiplantae; Streptophyta; Magnoliopsida; Malpighiales; Euphorbiaceae
Source: RNAcentral